UACGGGGGGAGCAAGCGUUGUUCGGAUUUACUGGGCGUAAAGGGCGCGUAGGCGGUCGUGACAAGUCACUUGUGAAAUCUCCGGGCUUAACUCGGAACGGUCAAGUGAUACUGUCGGACUAGAGUACAGAAGGGGCAACUGGAAUUCUCGGUGUAGCGGUGAAAUGCGUAGAUAUCGGGAGGAACACCGGUGGCGAAGGCGGCAUCCUGGACCGACACUGACACUGAGGAGCGAAAGCCAGGGGAGCAAACGGG
RNAcentral lists this ribosomal RNA (254 nucleotides) under uncultured bacterium. RNAcentral describes it as "partial 16S ribosomal RNA". It matches the Rfam family "Bacterial small subunit ribosomal RNA", at positions 524 to 776 of the family's 1533-position model. The record is from RNAcentral.